RNAcentral lists this unclassified non-coding RNA (270 nucleotides) under Candidatus Rickettsia uralica. The record is from RNAcentral. RNAcentral also lists the same sequence under 1 other name. Lineage: Bacteria; Pseudomonadati; Pseudomonadota; Alphaproteobacteria; Rickettsiales; Rickettsiaceae.
CUGUGAGAUUACAUAUGCAUAUAGUGUUAAUACUAUAAGAGUGUAGUAUCUACUCACAAAGUUAUCAGGUUAAAUAGCUUUAUCAACUAAUAAAAAUGUUAUUGCAUAACUAAUGUUAUACUGUAGCCCUGCCACGAUAUCCAGCGAAAAUUAUUUUGCUGAGUAUCGUAGUAAAAGUUAAGAUAUGAUGUUAAGAAUUUUUUUGAGUCGUGCAACAACAUUAACAGCAAACUAUAAUACAAAUCUAUCUUUUUAAAAGUUUGUAUUGCU